AGGCUUAACACAUGCAAGUCGAGCGGGGGAGAUUGCUUCGGUAACUGACCUAGCGGCGGACGGGUGAGUAAUACUUAGGAAUCUGCCUAUUAAUGGGGGACAACAUCUCGAAAGGGAUGCUAAUACCGCAUACGCCCUACGGGGGAAAGCAGGGGAUCACUUGUGACCUUGCGUUAAUAGAUGAGCCUAAGUCGGAUUAGCUAGUUGGUGGGGUAAAGGCCUACCAAGGCGACGAUCUGUAGCGGGUCUGAGAGGAUGAUCCGCCACACUGGGACUGAGACACGGCCCAGACUCCUACGGGAGGCAGCAGUGGGGAAUAUUGGACAAUGGGGGGAACCCUGAUCCAGCCAUGCCGCGUGUGUGAAGAAGGCCUUAUGGUUGUAAAGCACUUUAAGCGAGGAGGAGGCUCUUGUAGUUAAUACCUACGAUGAGUGGACGUUACUCGCAGAAUAAGCACCGGCUAACUCUGUGCCAGCAGCCGCGGUAAUACAGAGGGUGCGAGCGUUAAUCGGAUUUACUGGGCGUAAAGCGUGCGUAGGCGGCUUUUUAAGUCGGAUGUGAAAUCCCCGAGCUUAACUUGGGAAUUGCAUUCGAUACUGGGAAGCUAGAGUAUGGGAGAGGAUGGUAGAAUUCCAGGUGUAGCGGUGAAAUGCGUAGAGAUCUGGAGGAAUACCGAUGGCGAAGGCAGCCAUCUGGCCUAAUACUGACGCUGAGGUACGAAAGCAUGGGGAGCAAACAGGAUUAGAUACCCUGGUAGUCCAUGCCGUAAACGAUGUCUACUAGCCGUUGGGGCCUUUGAGGCUUUAGUGGCGCAGCUAACGCGAUAAGUAGACCGCCUGGGGAGUACGGUCGCAAGACUAAAACUCAAAUGAAUUGACGGGGGCCCGCACAAGCGGUGGAGCAUGUGGUUUAAUUCGAUGCAACGCGAAGAACCUUACCUGGUCUUGACAUAGUAAGAACUUUCCAGAGAUGGAUUGGUGCCUUCGGGAACUUACAUACAGGUGCUGCAUGGCUGUCGUCAGCUCGUGUCGUGAGAUGUUGGGUUAAGUCCCGCAACGAGCGCAACCCUUUUCCUUAUUUGCCAGCACUUCGGGUGGGAACUUUAAGGAUACUGCCAGUG
RNAcentral lists this ribosomal RNA (1120 nucleotides) under Acinetobacter sp. c43. RNAcentral's name for it is "bacterial SSU rRNA". It matches the Rfam family "Bacterial small subunit ribosomal RNA", at positions 44 to 1157 of the family's 1533-position model. The record is from RNAcentral. Lineage: Bacteria; Pseudomonadati; Pseudomonadota; Gammaproteobacteria; Moraxellales; Moraxellaceae.